This is a long non-coding RNA of Ictalurus punctatus (channel catfish), 412 nucleotides long. NCBI's taxonomy places the organism in Eukaryota, Metazoa, Chordata, Actinopteri, Siluriformes, Ictaluridae. The record is from Ensembl.
GCCCAAUCAGAGCAUGCGGCAGGAGCAUUUAUCAGUUCCCGACAUUCCAGAAGGUCUUCCGUUGUUUUUGUGGAUUAAUCGGAUUUUAUUCUUCACCAUGCGCGCGAUCAUGAAGCUCCUCAUCUGCUCUAGUGCACGAUCACCUGUCUUCGCUUUAAAAGAGUUUGAGCGCUACUUCCCAACCACAAAAGACCCACGAUCUGCCAAGGAAGGGGUUCGCGACCCAUUCGUCAACAAACCAGGUGAAUCCAGCAUGUCUGUGCAAGAAGAAGAUCAACUGCUGGAGAUCUCAAAUGACGGUGGCCUUAAAAGUAUGUUCGAGACAACAACUGCCGGUGUUCUGGAUUAAUGUCAUGACAGAACACCCUGAGAUCGCCACAACAGCACUGAAAACCCCGUUGCCAUUUCCGAC